UACGUAGGGGGCUAGCGUUGUCCGGAAUCAUUGGGCGUAAAGCGCGUGUAGGCGGUCCGGUAAGUCCGCUGUGAAAGUCGGGGGCUCAACCCUCGGAUGCCGGUGGAUACUGUCGGGCUUGAGUACGGAAGAGGCGAGUGGAAUUCCCGGUGUAGUGGUGAAAUGCGUAGAUAUCGGGAGGAACACCAGUGGCGAAGGCGACUACCUGGCCUGUUCUUGACGCUGAGGCGCGAAAGCUAGGGGAGCAAACGGG
Molecule: ribosomal RNA, 253 nt
Filed under: uncultured bacterium
Lineage: Bacteria
Description: partial 16S ribosomal RNA
Rfam family: Bacterial small subunit ribosomal RNA
Source: RNAcentral